RNAcentral lists this ribosomal RNA (503 nucleotides) under uncultured bacterium. RNAcentral describes it as "partial 16S ribosomal RNA". It matches the Rfam family "Bacterial small subunit ribosomal RNA", at positions 30 to 523 of the family's 1533-position model. The record is from RNAcentral.
AUUGAACGCUGGCGGCAGGCUUAACACAUGCAAGUCGAGCGGGGUGAUGGUGCUUGCACUAUCACUUAGCGGCGGACGGGUGAGUAAUGCUUAGGAAUCUGCCUAUUAGUGGGGGACAACAUCUCGAAAGGGAUGCUAAUACCGCAUACGUCCUACGGGAGAAAGCAGGGGAUCACUUGUGACCUUGCGCUAAUAGAUGAGCCUAAGUCGGAUUAGCUAGUUGGUGGGGUAAAGGCCUACCAAGGCGACGAUCUGUAGCGGGUCUGAGAGGAUGAUCCGCCACACUGGGACUGAGACACGGCCCAGACUCCUGCGGGAGGCAGCAGUGGGAAAUAUUGGACAAUGGGGGGAACCCUGAUCCAGCCAUGCCGCGUGUGUGAAGAAGGCCUUAUGGUUGUAAAGCACUUUAAGCGAGGAGGAGGCUCUCUUGGUUAAUACCCAAGAUGAGUGGACGUUACUCGCAGAAUAAGCACCGGCUAACUCUGUGCCAGCCGCCGCCGUAA